This is a small nuclear RNA of Neoarius graeffei (lesser salmon catfish), 191 nucleotides long. RefSeq annotates it as U2 spliceosomal RNA. The record is from RefSeq and is a predicted model, not a curated record. NCBI's taxonomy places the organism in Eukaryota, Metazoa, Chordata, Actinopteri, Siluriformes, Ariidae. The transcript has a single exon.
AUCGCUUCUCGGUCUUUUGGCUAAGAUCAAGUGUAGUAUCUGUUCUUAUCAGUUUAAUAUCUCCUGUGUUCUCUAAAUGAGAAAGUUAUAUUAAACAGACUUUCAGAACAGAGAGCGGGAAUAGAAGUUUGCUCCUUCUGCUCCACACAUUAAUCUGGUAUUGCAAUACCUCCAGGAAUAGUGCCUUUGUU